Carlito syrichta (Philippine tarsier) is the source of this 1298-nucleotide RNA transcript. It is a transcript of the gene named pre-mRNA-splicing factor RBM22 pseudogene, with no coding region annotated. The transcript has a single exon. Lineage: Eukaryota; Metazoa; Chordata; Mammalia; Primates; Tarsiidae. The record is from RefSeq and is a predicted model, not a curated record.
UCGGAAUCUCCCGCUGCCUCGGGACGCUCCCAAGAUGGCGACCUCGCUGGGUUCCAACACCUACGACAGGCAGAACUGGGAGGAUGCGGACUUCCCCAUUCUGGGUCAGACGUGUCUUGGAGAAAACCCUUACAUCCGAAUGACCAAAGAAAAGUACGGGAAGGAAUGCAAAAUCUGUGCCAGACCAUUCACCGUGUUUCGCUGGUGCCCUGGAGUUCGCAUGCGUUUCAAGAGGACUGAAGUGUGCCAGACCUGCAGUAAGUUGAAGAAUGUCUGUCAGACCUGCCUCUUAGACCUGGAGUAUGGCCUACCCAUCCAGGUUCGUGAUGCAGGGCUGUCUUUUAAAGAUGACAUGCCCAAAUCAGAUGUCAGCAAAGAAUACUACACACAGAAUAUGGAGCGAGAGGUUUCUAACUCUGCUGGAACACAGCCGGUCGGCAUGCUGGGGAAAGCCACAUCCACCAGUGACAGGCUGCUCAAGCUGGCUCGGACUACAGCCUACUACAAAAGGAAUCGGCCCCACAUUUGCUCCUUCUGGGUGAAAGGGGAGUGCAAGAGAGGAGAGGAGUGUCCGUGCAGACAUGAGAAGCCCACAGAUCCUGAUGACCCCCUUGCUGAUCAGAAUAUUAAAGGCCGAUAUUAUGGAAUCAAUGACCCUGUGGCUGAUAAGCUUCUGAAGCAGGCCUCAACAAUACCUCGUCUGAUUCCCCCAGAGGAUAAGACUAUCACCAUACUGUAUGUCGGUGGUCUGGGGGACACCAUUACUGAGACAAGAUUUAAGAAAUCACUUCUACCAGUUCGGAGAGAUCUGGACCAUCACGGUGGUGCAGCGACAGCAGUGUGCCUUCAUCGAGUUUGCCACGAGGCAGGCUGCAGAGGUGGCUGCCGAGAAGUCCUUCAACAAACUGAUUGUCAAUGGCCGCAGGCCCAACGUGAAAUGGGGAAGAUCCCAGGCAGCCAGAGGAAAAGAGAAGGAGAAGGAUGGAACCACAGAUUCUGGGAUCAAGCUGGAGCCGGUUCCAGGACUGCCGGGAGCUCUCCCUCCUCCCCCUGCUGCCGAAGAAGAAGCCUCUGCCAACGACUUCAACCUACCCCCAAGUGGUCCACCAGCCGUGGUGAACAUCGCCCUGCCACCGCCCCCUGGCAUCGCCCCGCCCCCACCCCCAGGUUUUGGGCCCCACAUGUUCCACCCGAUGGGACCACCCCCUCCUUUCAUGAGGGCACCAGAACCAAUCCACUACCCUUCCCAGGACCCUCAGAGGAUGGGAGCACAUGCUGGCAAGCACAGCAGCCCCUAG